GAAAGGAGAAAGAAGAAGAAGAAGAGAAGAACGGAAGAGGAGAAGAGGAGAAGAGGAGAAGAGAAGAGUAGAGAGGGAGAUCAAGGAAGAGAUCAAUCUACUCAGGUUGCUGUUGGAAAGUUCAGCAAAUAGGAGUUCCAAAUUGCUGUGAGGGAGCCUAUUCAGAACCAGGAGGAGAGAUAACUGUUUCUGAUUUUCGGGAUUACCAGUUCAGAGUAUGAUGCUAUGGCUAUAGAUCAGUUGGCUUGUAUUCAGGAUGAUGAAUUUAGUCAUGGGCCUGAUUGCGAGUGUGAUGAUUGUGUUUAUGGUGGACAACAUUUUCUAAGAACUGAUGUAUAUGAUCAUUCUAUUGUGUAUAUAUAUGGAUAGUUAUGGAAACCAGUUUUUUAUGGUUCAGACUACAACUGGGAGACUUGUUGAUGGUUUGGACAAGUGGGAGAGAGGUUUGAUGGUUUGGCAAGU
Molecule: long non-coding RNA, 462 nt
Organism: Macadamia integrifolia
Lineage: Eukaryota; Viridiplantae; Streptophyta; Magnoliopsida; Proteales; Proteaceae
Exons: 3
Source: RefSeq, a predicted model, not a curated record